This is a non-coding RNA of Nelumbo nucifera (sacred lotus), 5051 nucleotides long. The record is from RefSeq and is a predicted model, not a curated record. NCBI's taxonomy places the organism in Eukaryota, Viridiplantae, Streptophyta, Magnoliopsida, Proteales, Nelumbonaceae.
AUCACCUUUCUGCAACCGCGCACUUAUAACUGCCCAUAAAUUAGAUACUGCUCAGAACCAAAAUCUCUCCCCAUUCCCGCUACUCUCCAUCUGAGCUUGGAGUUGGAGAGAAGUCCGACGCCGACGAUCGUUGUAGCAAACACACCGAAGAUUGAUUGAUAUUUCGAGAACGAGGGAAGUUGUUCCGAGUGAGUAACAACUUAAUCGGAAUUAUGAAGUUCGCGGUCUUUUUGUUCUCGAUUCUAAUCUUGGCCAGACUCAUAGGUGCGUGAUACAUGUCUCAUGGCUUCUCUGGAUUUACCUCUGCAUGUUGUUCCUCCUCUAUGUUCUUCUUUUCUGCCUCAUGAUCCUCGCUUUCGUGGUGACUAACAAGAGUGUAGGAGAGGUUUUGUCGUAUAAAGGGUAUAAGGAGUAUAAAUUAGGGGACUAUUCAAAUUGGUUGCAGAAGAGGGUUAACAACAACAUAAACUAGCACAAGAUCAAGAGUUGCUUGAUGAAUAGUUAUGUCUGCAAUAGCCUUAGCGAUGCCAUCGACACAGUUGAACAGUUUUAUGCUCGGCACUUAUCAUCGAUUCAGGUGUGUCACGUCAUUCCCUUGUUCAUAUCGUUUUAUUUAUUCUGUGUGUACAAAUCUAAAUGUGGGUACUUUUAUUUUUUAUUUUUUCAGAAUUCGUUUCAUCUAUAUCAGCUUUUUUUUCUUCCUUUUUCUUUAUCAACUUUAGGGAUUUUGAUCUUGAAACUUUUUGGUAGAUCCCCUCCCAAUUUUGGAUUUCCUACCUUUAUCUUCCUGUUUCACAACAUUAUUCCUUGAAACAGACAUUUGAGAAAAUUUCCUUCACUCCUUGGUACAAAUUACAGUUGGUUUGGGUAUCUACCAUCUAUCACCACGACAGUAUGACCGAACUUUCAUUGCAUUUUUGUAACUGGUUUUAUUAAAAAACUACUGAUUGAAACAUUAAUUUUCUUUUUGACUGAUUGCUCAACAUUGGGUUUGUAAAAUAUUGGUUUUUGUUAAUUUUUUUGCUAUUUCAAUUUUGAUAUCUCAAUCUUUCCUGAGAUCCCAUUUAGAUUAUAAGUUCAGUUUUCUGCAAUUCACUUGGCCAGAAUGUUGUCCUCUGUUUUCAAGUGUUGAGCCAUGAAAAUGGCUCAUGAUAUGAGCCAUCAGUUUUCUAUCCCUCUUGUCUAAGCACAUAGCGGGCAUAAAGAUGUCCUUUACUCUCACUUCAGAAAUUGUCCACUCAUAAUUGUUCAAAAACUACUCAUGAAUUAUAAAUAAUUUUGUCUUGGAGCUGCCACGUGCAAAUAGGUUUCUCCCUCACACCCUCACUCAAUCAGUUUCUCUCUCAAAUACGAAGGUAUUUCGCGUCUUUCUAUGAAAUCACUGUGUGAACAAACGUUGAAUCAAUGAAAGUACCGAGUCCUAAACAGUAACUAUAUAUUCCUUUCAACCCGUCGUUGAUCUCUCUCUCUGUUCCUAUUAUGUUUUUCUUAAUCUCAGAUGCUUUUGUAGUAGAUUGAUUGAUAUUUCGAGAACGAGGGAAGUUGUUCCGAGUGAGUAACAACUUAAUCGGAAUUAUGAAGUUCGUGGUCCUUUUGUUCUCGAUUUCGAUCUUAGGAGGUGGAAUAUGGCUGGCAAAUAGAGCGAGCACUGAUAGUGAGAAGUUCCUCGAGAAAUCCAUUAUUUCUUUGGGGGUGUUUCUCAUGUUUGUGUCUCUCGCCGGACUCAUAGGUGCGUGUUACAAGAAGAAGGUUAACAACAACAAAAAUUGGAACAAGAUCAAGAGUUUCUAGAUGAAUAGUUAUGUCUGCAAUAGCCUCAGCGAUGCAACCAACACAGUUGAACAGUUUUAUGCUCGGCACUUGUCAUCGAUUCAGGUGUGUAACAUCAUUUCCUUGAUAAUAUCGUUUUAUAUAUUAUUUGUGUAUAAAUUUGAAUGUGGGUACUUUUAUUUUUUUUCGGAUUUUGGUUUUGAUUUUUUGUUUUCUAAGCAUUUGCCAUAAUUUCUCAAAGAAGCAGAAUCUGUUUCAUCUAUAUCUGUUUUUUUUUUCUUCCUUUCUCUUUAUCAACUUUAGGGAUUUUGAUCUUGAAACAUUUUGGUAGAUCCCCUCCCAUUUUUGAAUUUCCUACCUUUUUCUUCCUGUUUGAUAGCAUUAUUCCUUGAAACAGACAUUUGAGAAAUUUUCCUUCACUUCUUGGUAGAAAUCACAGUUGGUUUGGGUAUCUACCAUCUAUCACCACGAUAGUAUGACUGAAUUUUCACUGCAUUUUUGUAACUGGGUUUAUUAGAAAACUACUGAUUGAAACAUGAAUUUUCUUUUUGAUUGAUUGCUCAACAUUGGGUUUGUAAAAUAUUGGUUUCUGUUAUUUUUCUUGCUAUUUCAAUUUUGAUAUCUCAAUCUUUCCUGUGAUCCCAUGUAGAUUAUAAGUUCAGUUUUCUACAGUGCACUUUGCCAGAAUGUUGUCCUCUGUUUUCAAGUGUUGAGCCAUGAAAAUGGCUCAUGAUAUGAGCCAUCAGCUUUCUAUCCCUCUUGUCUAAGCACACAGCGGGCACAAAGAGAGCAUAUAUGUCCUUUACUCUCACUUCAGAAACUACCCACUUAUAAGUUUUAACCGUUUAGAAACUACCCAUGAAUUAUAAAUAGUUUUAUCUCAGAGAUACUGCCACGUGCAAAUGCACGUACACGUUUACUGCCCCUACUUAGUCUCUCACUUUCAGGAAUUUUCACUAGACACAUUCUACCUCCACCUGUUUAUGUAUACAGAGGGCAUAUAUGUCCUUUACUCUUGCUGUAAUAGAAACCGAAAAAAUGGUUGUAUCUCCCACAACCUCUUCCCUGUCUCCCACAAACUCUUCCCACCAACUGCCCCUCUAACUGUAAAACCAGCAGUUUUAUCUCCCAUAAAAUCUUUCCUGCAAACCGUUUUAUCUCCCACAAACUAUUUCCUGCAAUUAAAUUCCCACCAUAAUCGAAACCCGAACAUAACAAAAUUUACAACUUUAUACUGUCUAGGAGGGUGGAACUAUAGUGGAACUAUAGCGAAUUUCGGAUAUAUGAGAGAUGACUUGGGAGGGGGUGUGACUCUGCUGAUGAACCCUCUAUCGUUAGCUUUGAAUUUUGUGACUCUACUGAUGAACAAUAUGUUCCUGAUUCAUUGACGGAUUUGGAGUCUAAUCAGACAGUUCCAUGUGAUUUACCCUCAUCAUCACAGGGCCACCAUGUAAGAAAAAACGCGAGUUCAAGUGGUAGAUAUCAUAAGAAGGUUAGCUUCUGGGAUUUGGACCCAGAGUUCAACCACAUAUUGGAGUGGUGAAAAUGAUGGGGAGCAUUCAGACAUCAUUGAACCACCACCAUUUCAUGAACACUCUGUUGCAUCGGAAGGAAGAGAACAAUUGAGAUUUCCAUGUGCCAGGAAUCGUCCUCAAGUGAGAGGGUGCAAAACAAUUAUUGAUAUGCUCAUGCAAAUGGAGCACAAGAGGCAAAGGGAGCUUACCGAGUUACCAUGCUGGUUGAGCACCACGCAGUAUCAAGGUUCCCACAACAAGGUCGCAUUCCGGUGAACAUAGAACUAAUUAGGGUCCGUUUGGUUCUUGGAAUCAGAUGAAAUGGCAUUUCCUUCGAAGGGAGGGAGAGGGAAUGGCCAUUCCCUGAAAUGGGAAUGGAAAUGGAAUUCUAAUUCCAUCCAACCAAACAGUUGGAAUUCCACUAUUCCAAUUUUGAUUCCAUACCCCUAUUCCUAUGAAUCAAAUGGGCCCUCACUUCUCUUUUUGACAAUUGUUCUUCUUCCAUUUGUACACUAUAUUGACUUCUUGUAUGUCAAUACAUGUUUAGUCAUUGCUCUCAGACUUAGAUUCUGAACAGAAUCAAAUUCAACCAGUUUGAUUCUUCUGAUGAUGAAGCUGAGUCAAGUUCUACUGAUGAUGAACCAGUUUUCAAUAAGCAUAGAUUGAUUUCUGAUUGGAUUUUGCCCAAAUCCAAUGAAUUAGGUGAAAUCACCGGAUGCCAACUGAAGGGAAGACAUGCUUCUGUUACAGGGGUUGAUUUUAAAGCUAAGAUAGCUAAUAAAAUGCAUACAAGAUUGAACAAGAAGGGACAUGAUUCAGUAUACAGGGAGAUGAGGGGGAAAUUUUGUGAGGAAGACCAUAGAAAGAAGAACAACAACAUUGAGCAAGAGACAACCACACUCAGUGAUGCUUGUGCUUUCAUGAAUUCCAUAAUAGAGGAGUUGAAAGUUGCGAGAGAGAAAAUGCUUUAAUGGAUGAUAGAGGAGAUGAGAAGGGUCAUGGCUGAUGAUGAUGUUCUAGAGCGAAAUGACAUAACAGGCAAUCAUCAACAGGAUAUGAUCAAAGUACAGUCUCAGAACAGCCCUGAGUUAGGAUCAGAGGCCCAAGCUUGCAAAUGGGAAGCCUUGGUGAGGCCCAAGCAAAAAUGGAUCUUGCGGAUCAAGAUCAAAGGCAUCCAGAUGCUGAACAGAACCAAAUUCAGCAAAGAACUUCCAUCAGGUUUCUAAGGUACAAUUAAUGUUAUUUUAACUUUUGUUUCAACAGGAUGUUCAUGUAAUGUUGGAAGAUCACUCAAUUUACAUUUGUUUAAGUUCUUUUUUGUGUCUGUCAUGUAUCUACCCAAAGCUUUCCAAGGCUAAAAAUAAGAUAAAUCAGAUAAAGAAGCCAUCUGACUAGUAUCUUCCUCUUGAUAAUUAAGAAAAAUCAGCUACCAAUAAUGGAAAACAACUCCAACUAUGGAGUGGUCCCAAUUAGGGUGUCUUAUUGUUAGGCCAAGUCCUAAGCUCAAAGAUUAGUGGGAACAUGAGCAAGGUUUAUUUAGAAAAAAUAUACAGGUUUAAUGGAGUCCAGGGUGGCUCAUCAUGUAUGGUGCAUGAAGUCUUCCAACCUUGAACUCUAAACAACAGAAAUUUCCGGUUCAAUAGAUGGUUUAUCCUACUCUAAAAUUGUGGGAGUCCCUUUAAAUGGAUAUUCAUGUUCUUGCUAUUGAGCUUAGUGUUAUUUUUUUACUGGGCCAAACAUUUUCACUCACUGGAGUAGAUUUUGCUG